This 29-nucleotide non-coding RNA is filed under the name Rattus norvegicus (Norway rat). Lineage: Eukaryota; Metazoa; Chordata; Mammalia; Rodentia; Muridae. The record is from RNAcentral.
UGACUAGCACGAAGUCUGGAAACUCUGGG